UGAACCUGCGGAGGGAUCAUUGCAAGUGACCCCGGUCUAACCACCGGGAUGUUCAUAACCCUUUGUGGUCCGAUUCUGUUGCCUCCGGGGCGACCCUGCCUUCGGGCGGGGGCUCCGGGUGGACACUUCAAACUCUUGCGUAACUUUGCAGUCUGAGUAAACUUAAUUAAUAAAUUAAAACUUUUAACAACGGAUCUCUUGGUUCUGGCAUCGAUGAAGAACGCAGCGAAAUGCGAUAAGUAAUGUGAAUUGCAGAAUUCAGUGAAUCAUCGAAUCUUUGAACGCACAUUGCGCCCCCUGGUAUUCCGGGGGGCAUGCCUGUUCGAGCGUCAUUUCACCACUCAAGCCUCGCUUGGUAUUGGGCAUCGCGGUCCGCCGCGUGCCUCAAAUCGACCGGCUGGGUCUUCUGUCCCCUAAGCGUUGUGGAAACUAUUCGCUAAAGGGUGCUCUGGAGGCUACGCCGUAAAACAACCCCAGUUCUAAAGUAGACCUCGGAUCACGUCCGGGUACCCGCUGAGCCUAAACAAAUCA
Molecule: ribosomal RNA, 531 nt
Filed under: uncultured fungus
Lineage: Eukaryota; Fungi
Description: eukaryotic LSU rRNA
Rfam family: 5.8S ribosomal RNA (bases 179-332)
Source: RNAcentral